RNAcentral lists this ribosomal RNA (395 nucleotides) under uncultured bacterium. Its description in RNAcentral is "bacterial SSU rRNA". It matches the Rfam family "Bacterial small subunit ribosomal RNA", at positions 30 to 430 of the family's 1533-position model. The record is from RNAcentral.
AUUGAACGCUGGCGGCAUGCCUUACACAUGCAAGUCGAACGGCAGCGGACCUUCGGGUGCCGGCGAGUGGCGAACGGGUGAGUAAUAUAUCGGAACGUACCUUUCAGUGGGGGAUAACGUAGCGAAAGUUACGCUAAUACCGCAUAUUCUGUGAGCAGGAAAGCAGGGGAUCGCAAGACCUUGCGCUGAUUGAGCGGCCGAUAUCAGAUUAGCUAGUUGGUGAGGUAAAGGCUCACCAAGGCGACGAUCUGUAGCGGGUCUGAGAGGAUGAUCCGCCACACUGGAACUGAGACACGGUCCAGACUCCUACGGGAGGCAGCAGUGGGAAUUUUGGACAAUGGGCGCAAGCCUGAUCCAGCCAUGCCGCGUGAGUGAAGAAGGCCUCGGUUGUAAGU